UGUGCUUCACAGAUGCGUGUACCUUUUGAGUGUUUGUGACGCCUGUCAUUGAAAGCACACAACUGUCUGUUUUCAGGUUGAGGAAUGGAAGGGGAGAACCCGGCAUCCAAACGGAGCUUCCGUGGCGGUGAAGGAGCAUAAAACGGCCGCGUCGCAAAUAGCAGAAGUACCGCUGACUGAUGACCAAGAACAUUGGUUUGGCCUGUACUUCGAUGAGAUUCGGCCGGUGAUGUUACAAGGUAAUAAGUCAGUGGACAAUGCAGCAGCAGAGCAGAGUUUUUUUGUUUCAAGUACUGGAAGGCCAAUUUAUAACCCCUGCAACGACUUGAAAAGAUUCCAUGCCAAAUACAACAUUCCCAGGGUGACCAGCAGCGACGCUCGGACAGCCUUUGAGACGGCUGCUAAAAAUCUGCCGGAGGUGCAGAGGAAUGCGGUGGCACGUCUCUUGGGACACACGCCGGAAACAGCAGAGAAGCAUUACCGGAUGAAAACUCCGGCAGAUGCAUUCCUGGCCAAGGUUGUGGUCGAUGAGCUCACUGCAAA
This is a long non-coding RNA of Ctenopharyngodon idella (grass carp), 543 nucleotides long. RefSeq lists it as uncharacterized. NCBI's taxonomy places the organism in Eukaryota, Metazoa, Chordata, Actinopteri, Cypriniformes, Xenocyprididae. The transcript has 3 exons. The record is from RefSeq and is a predicted model, not a curated record.